AGAGUUGAUCCUGGCUCAGAAUGAACGCUGGCGGCGUGCUUAACACAUGCAAGUCGCACGAGAACACCUCAGCUUGCUGGGGUAAGUAAAGUGGCGCACGGGUGAGUAACGCGUGGGUAAUCUGCCCUCGAAUCUGGGAUAACCCCGCGAAAGCGGGGCUAAUACCGGAUGAAAUCCAGUUAGCUUUGGCUAUAUGGAUCAAAGGUGGCCUCUGCAUGCAAGCUACUGUUUGGGGAUGAGCCCGCGUACCAUUAGCUUGUUGGUGGGGUAAAGGCCCACCAAGGCGACGAUGGUUAGCUGGUCUGAGAGGAUGAUCAGCCACACUGGAACUGGAACACGGUCCAGACUCCUACGGGAGGCAGCAGUGAGGAAUUUUGCGCAAUGGGGGUAACCCUGACGCAGCAACGCCGCGUGAGUGAUGAAGGCCUUCGGGUCGUAAAGCUCUGUCAAGUGGGAAGAACCCAUUCCGGCACAACAAGCCGGGGUGCUGACGGUACCACUGAAGGAAGCACCGGCUAACUCCGUGCCAGCAGCCGCGGUAAUACGGAGGGUGCGAGCGUUAUUCGGAAUUACUGGGCGUAAAGGGCGCGUAGGCGGCCGAUUAAGUCAGAUGUGAAAUCCCGGGGCUUACCCCCGGAAGUGCAUUUGAUACUGAACGGCUUGAGUAUGGGAGAGGGAAGUGGAAUUCCUGGUGUAGCGGUGAAAUGCGUAGAUAUCAGGAGGAACACCGGUGGCGAAGGCGACUUCCUGGACCAAUACUGACGCUGAGGCGCGAAGGCGUGGGGAGCAAACCGGAUUAGAUACCCUGGUAGUCCACGCAGUAAACGGUGAUCACUACGUGUAGCGGGUAUUGACCCCUGC
This 861-nucleotide ribosomal RNA is filed under the name uncultured organism. RNAcentral's name for it is "bacterial SSU rRNA". It matches the Rfam family "Bacterial small subunit ribosomal RNA", at positions 8 to 841 of the family's 1533-position model. The record is from RNAcentral.